RNAcentral lists this ribosomal RNA (563 nucleotides) under Trichoderma pleuroticola. RNAcentral's name for it is "eukaryotic LSU rRNA". The stretch from base 187 to 340 matches the Rfam family "5.8S ribosomal RNA". Lineage: Eukaryota; Fungi; Ascomycota; Sordariomycetes; Hypocreales; Hypocreaceae. The record is from RNAcentral.
CCCAACCCAAUGUGAACGUUACCAAACUGUUGCCUCGGCGGGAUCUCUGCCCCGGGUGCGUCGCAGCCCCGGACCAAGGCGCCCGCCGGAGGACCAACCAAAACUCUUAUUGUAUACCCCCUCGCGGGUUUUUUUAUAAUCUGAGCCUUCUCGGCGCCCCUCGUGGGCGUUUCGAAAAUGAAUCAAAACUUUCAACAACGGAUCUCUUGGUUCUGGCAUCGAUGAAGAACGCAGCGAAAUGCGAUAAGUAAUGUGAAUUGCAGAAUUCAGUGAAUCAUCGAAUCUUUGAACGCACAUUGCGCCCGCCAGUAUUCUGGCGGGCAUGCCUGUCCGAGCGUCAUUUCAACCCUCGAACCCCUCCGGGGGGUCGGCGUUGGGGAUCGGCCCUCCCUCUGCGGGGGCCGUCUCCGAAAUACAGUGGCGGUCUCGCCGCAGCCUCUCCUGCGCAGUAGUUUGCACACUCGCACCGGGAGCGCGGCGCGUCCACAGCCGUUAAACACCCAACUUUCUGAAAUGUUGACCUCGGAUCAGGUAGGAAUACCCGCUGAACUUAAGCAUAUCAA